GGGUGAUGACCAUGGUAACACCCGGGUGGGAGUUCGUGACAUCUCCGGCGCGGAGGGACUCGAUGUCUAUGGCAAUGGUCGCCUGGUGGAAGGGACGGAACUAGAUCCCUUCGCUCGGGACGCUCACAUUCCAGGCCCUUGUCCUGCAGGCUGCCGCGGGCGGACACGCCAGAGGAGGAGGCCGGGGAAUGGCCGCGGUGUGGCAGCAAGUCUUAGCAGUGGACGCGAGGUGAGGCGUGGGGUCAACGCCCAUGGGAGCAGAACUUACUGUGGUGCAUGCGCAAUGGCGAUAAGUGAGGCUGGGCGGAGAACUUGCCUUAUGCGGCUGCGUGGGCAUGCCGGAGGUGAGCAUGCGCAGUAGCGGGGGCGGGCACGCCCGCGGUGAGUUGGCUGGGCCGGAGAGGAUUCUAAACAGCAAGCUGGGAAAAUGUGGUCAGAUGUGGGCAUGCGCAAAGCGGCUACCUGUGAGAGGGAGGUGGGGCUCAGGCAGGUGACAUCCUAUCCCCUAUGGGUGUCCCCUAGACUUUUUUUUUUUUACAUCAUCACUUCCCCAUUCUGACCCCAUCACCUCCCAACGCUGACCCCCAUAAUGUCAGUCUGACUUCUGUCGCCCUGGUAUACUGACCCUAAUUAUUGUCUGCGCUGACCCAGUCACCCCGUAGGGACCCCAGCACGGCAGCAGACUGACUCUGUUGUCUGCAAACUGACCUCAUGACCAUGCUCAUUAUUACUGCAGACUCACUCCCACCACAGGACCAAGAGGUCCCUCAUCACCACUGCUAGUCAUUCUUACCACCUAGGCCCCAGUCACUGCCACACACCUCACUCUUCUGCCGUACCCCCCCCCCCCGAGCUGAUUGAUUCCCUCUGUCCUGUGCCUGCUGCCUGCCCUGCAUCCUGACCCUGCAGGUACAACGCGUACCGCACACCAACGUUUCCACAGUUUCGGACGCAGUAUAUCCGCCGGCGCAGCCAGCUGCUGCGGGAGAAUGCCAAGGCUGGGCACCCCCCAGCGCUGCGUCGGCAGUACCUGAGGCUUCGGGGGCAGCUGCUGGGCCAGCGCUACGGGCCCCUCUCCGAGCCAGGCAGUGCUCGUGCCUAUAGCAACAGCAUCGUCCGCAGUAGCCGCACUACUCUUGACCGCAUGGAGGACUUUGAGGAUGAUCCUCGGGCCCUGGGGGCCCGUGGGCACCGUCGUUCUGUCAGCAGAGGCUCCUACCAGCUGCAGGCGCAGAUGAACCGUGCCGUCUAUGAGGACAGGCCCCCUGGCAGCGUGGUGCCCACGUCAGCAGCAGAGGCAAGUCGGGCCAUGGCCGGGGACACGUCACUGAGCGAGAACUAUGCCUUUGCGGGCAUGUAUCAUGUUUUUGACCAGCACGUGGAUGAGGCAGUCCCAAGGGUGCGCUUCGCCAAUGAUGACCGACACCGCCUGGCCUGCUGCUCACUCGACGGCAGCAUCUCCCUGUGCCAGCUGGUGCCUGCCCCACCCACAGUGCUUCGCGUGCUACGGGGCCACACCCGUGGUGUCUCCGACUUCGCCUGGUCCCUCUCCAAUGACAUCCUCGUGUCCACCUCACUGGAUGCCACCAUGCGCAUCUGGGCCUCUGAGGAUGGUCGCUGCAUCCGGGAGAUCCCUGACCCCGAUAGCGCUGAACUGCUCUGCUGCACCUUCCAGCCUGUCAACAACAACCUCACUGUGGUGGGGAACGCCAAGCACAACGUGCAUGUCAUGAACAUCUCCACAGGCAAGAAAGUGAAGGGGGGCUCCAGCAAGCUGACAGGCCGUGUCCUUGCUCUGUCCUUUGAUGCCCCUGGCCGGCUGCUCUGGGCGGGUGAUGACCGUGGCAGUGUCUUCUCUUUCCUCUUCGAUAUGGCCACAGGGAAGCUGACCAAAGCCAAGCGUUUGGUGGUGCAUGAGGGGAGCCCUGUGACCAGCAUCUCAGCCCGGUCCUGGGUCAGCCGCGAGGCCCGGGAUCCCUCACUGCUCAUCAAUGCUUGCCUCAACAAGUUGCUGCUCUACAGGGUGGUAGACAACGAGGGGACCCUGCAGCUGAAGAGAAGCUUCCCCAUCGAGCAGAGCUCACAUCCUGUGCGCAGCAUCUUCUGUCCCCUCAUGUCCUUCCGCCAGGGGGCCUGCGUGGUGACGGGCAGUGAGGACAUGUGCGUGCACUUCUUUGAUGUGGAGCGGGCGGCCAAGGCUGCUGUCAACAAGCUGCAGGGCCACAGUGCACCUGUGCUUGAUGUCAGCUUCAACUGCGACGAGAGCCUACUGGCCUCCAGUGACGCCAGCGGCAUGGUCAUCGUCUGGAGGCGGGAGCAGAAGUAGGGUCCUGUCGGCCCUGCUGCUGUCCUCCAUCCCACUGCUCUUACUCCAGCCUCGUGUUGUAAAUAAAGUUUCGGUGGUCAUGCUGAGGGCCGGCUCCCAGCUCUGCCGGGGACGGACAGGGCAGAGGGCAGCGGGCAGCUCCAGGAACACGGUGGAACGGG
RNAcentral lists this small RNA (2487 nucleotides) under Pan troglodytes (chimpanzee). RNAcentral describes it as "retained intron". Lineage: Eukaryota; Metazoa; Chordata; Mammalia; Primates; Hominidae. The record is from RNAcentral.